GACGAACGCUGGCGGCGUGCUUAACACAUGCAAGUCGAACGGAAAGGCCCUGAUUUUGUGGGGUGCUCGAGUGGCGAACGGGGGAGAAAAACGUGAGUAACCUGCCCUUGACUUUGGGAUAACUUCAGGAAACUGGGGCUAAUACCGGAUAGGAGCUCCUGCUGCAUGGGGGGGGUUGGAAAGUGUCGGCUGUUGGGGAUGGACUCGCGGCUUAUCAGCUGGUUGGUGGGGUAGUGGCUUACAAAGGCUUUGACGGGUAGCCGGCCUGAGAGCGUGACCGGCCACAGUGGGACUGAGAUACGGCCCAGACUCCUACGGGAGGCAGCAGUGGGGAAUCUUGCACAAUGGGCGGACGCCUGAUGCAGCAACGCCGCGUGCGGGAUGACGGCCUUCUGGUUAUAAACCGCUUUCGCCUGUGACGAAGCGUGAGUGACGGUACUGGGUAAAGAAGCCCCGGCUAACUACGUG
Molecule: ribosomal RNA, 468 nt
Filed under: uncultured bacterium
Lineage: Bacteria
Description: partial 16S ribosomal RNA
Rfam family: Bacterial small subunit ribosomal RNA
Source: RNAcentral